Non-coding RNA from Pelobates cultripes (western spadefoot toad), 270 nucleotides. The record is from the annotation of a GenBank genome assembly. Lineage: Eukaryota; Metazoa; Chordata; Amphibia; Anura; Pelobatidae.
AGUGAGGGGGUGACUGGUGACCGAGUGAGGGGUUGACUGGUAACUGAGUGAGGGAGGGGGUGACUAGUGACAGAAGGAGGGAAGGAGUAGUGACAGAGGGAGGUGGUGACUAGUGACAGUCACCACCUCCCUCACUCUGUCACUGUCACCCCCUCCCUCUGUCACUAGUCACCCACUCCCUCCCUCCCUCUGUCACUGGUCACCCACUCCCUCCCUCUGUCACCAGUCAUCCCCUCACUCUGUCACUAGUAACCCCUUCCUUCCCUCACU